Malania oleifera is the source of this 3151-nucleotide RNA transcript. RefSeq lists it as uncharacterized. NCBI's taxonomy places the organism in Eukaryota, Viridiplantae, Streptophyta, Magnoliopsida, Santalales, Ximeniaceae. The record is from RefSeq and is a predicted model, not a curated record. The transcript is spliced from 6 exons.
GUCCCACAAGAGCCGUGUGGCGGUAAGACGCGGCAGCGCACGUUCUUCUCUGGCGGCCCCCUUCAGUACUUAUUCGCAGCUUCCGACCCACUCAAGCUCACUUCACUCAUUAUGGAAGAACAACCAAGUCACCGGUGACAAAAGUGUGAAACACAAGUACAGAAAAGAGGCAGAAAUAUCCUCUCUCUCUCUCUCUCUCUCUCUCUCUCUCUCUUCUAGAUUUCACGCGCAUUUCACAGAAAUCAAAGCUCAGAAAGACCUUAAAUUUCAGGGGAAAACGAUCUGCACGAAAGCCCUAAUCAGCUUGUGCUCUUGUUGAUUAGCUGAUAGCUUUGGAUACACUUUAUUUUUCUUUGUUUAAAGUGAAGAGAUUGGAGGAGGAGGAGGAGGAGGAGGAGGAUCAAUUCGUUGGAAUAAUCUGAUCGAACGGUGUGGUCGGCGUCUGUUGGAUCGCUGAGAAUGGAGGAGAAUCGGAAUCUGAGGGAGGAGGAGGCCGCGGUGGUGAAGGAGGAGGAGGAGGAUGCGGAGGAGGAUUCGACCGAGAGCAGCGAUGAUUGUACGUCGGAGAAUGAGGGGACGGAGGACUACCGGCGGGGAGGGUACCACGCGGUUCGAGUAGGGGACACCUUCAAGAGCGGCGCUUAUGUGGUGCAGUCCAAGCUCGGUUGGGGUCAUUUCUCUACUGUCUGGCUCGCUUGGGACACCCUCAAGUCCCGAUAUGUAGCUUUAAAAGUUCAAAAGAGUGCUCAGCAUUACACUGAGGCAGCCAUGGAUGAAAUAACUAUACUGCAGCAGAUAGCAGAGGGUGACCCAGAUGAUAAAAAGUGUGUAGUGAAGCUUUUGGAUCAUUUUAAGCAUUCAGGUCCAAAUGGACAACACAUUUGUAUGGUUUUUGAGUACCUGGGAGAUAAUCUUUUGACGCUUAUAAAGUAUACAGGUUAUCAUGGGAUGCCUAUGCAUAUGGUUAAACAGAUUUGCUUCCAUGUUUUGGUGGGUUUGGAUUACUUGCACAGACAACUCUCUAUCAUACAUACUGAUUUGAAGCCUGAAAAUAUUUUGCUAACUUCCACGAUAGACCCGUGUAAGGAUCCUAAAAAUUCUGGUACACCUCUUAUUCUUCCGAGUGGCAAGGAUAAGUCUUUGUUUGAGUCUGGGAUUGCAAAAGAGAUUAGGACUUCAAAUGGGGAUUUGACUAAGAAUCAGAAGAAAAAGAUUCGAAGAAAAGCUAAGCGAGCAGCUCAGGGUUGUGUGGGGAAGGAAGUUUCUGCAGAAACUGAGCAAAAUGCUGAAACAUCAGUGGAGCAUUCCUUGAAUACAAACUCAAAUGUGGGAUCUCUGGAAGGCCAGUCAAAUAGUUCUGGUGGUAUAAAUAGACUGGCAGAUGCCUGUGGACCAAAGAGUACUGGGCAGGGAAUUCAGGGUAGGAAGGGAAGUCGUUUGAGAAGGCAGCAGCUGUUAGCAUCUGUUGAACUUAAGUGCAAAUUGGUUGAUUUUGGGAACGCCUGUUGGACUUAUAAACAGUUCACAAAUGAUAUACAGACAAGGCAAUAUAGAUGUCCAGAGGUUAUCCUUGGAUCUAAAUAUUCUACUUCAGCGGAUCUUUGGUCCUUUGCUUGCAUUUGUUUUGAGCUGGCAACUGGUGAUGUUCUAUUUGAUCCUCACAGUGGUGACAACUUUGAUAGGGAUGAGGAUCACUUGGCAUUGAUGAUGGAGCUUCUUGGAAUGAUGCCACGAAAGAUUGCCUUAGGUGGCCGUUAUUCUCGGGGCUUCUUCAAUAGACAUGGAGACUUACGGCACAUCCGUCGGUUGCGUUUCUGGCCCCUGAAUAAGGUACUUAUAGAGAAGUAUGAUUUCAACGAGCAUGAUGCCAAUGACAUGGCCGACUUCCUGGUUCCCAUCCUUGAUUUUGUCCCUGAGAAACGGCCUACAGCAGCGCAAUGCCUUCUUCAUCCUUGGAUCGAUUCUGGUCCUCGCCUUUUAGAGCCUUCAAUGCCUUCUGUUCAAACACAAUCUGUGGAUUCCGAGAAGGAAAAGAAGGAAAAAGAUGGGAGGGAGGCCAUGGAGGUUGGAAUGGGUAAUAUUGUCAUCAAUGUUGAUAGUAAGGCUGUGAAAGAUGCUCAUUCUAAUGAUAAACAUUCAAAGACAGCUAUAAAUACUUCAUCUGGAUAGGAUUCUGGCCAGUGUUUCGGCUUGCAACCUCCCUAUUAUCCUUCUUUAUGUGUAGUUUUCUUCAAAAGCAGCUUGUAUUCCUACAAAGCAUGAUUUUCUCCCGGUUUGAUAUUUCCCAUCAUUUGGUUGAUCGCUAUGGUUGGGCAUGGUUAGGCAGCAGUUUGUAUUUAUGUGGGUCAGAGCUUGAAAGGAGCAAUUACUUAAAUUUUUUGUGCUCAUUACCGAAGAAUCCGUUGAUAAAGCCUCAUGGAUGGAGUGCACCGUCCAUAUGUAACAGGUUGUCCAUUUCCCAUUUCCUCAUCAUAGAUGCUUCCGGAAAGGGGUUCAGACCUAGAUAAGCCUCACUCUCGUGAAGCUUCAGGUGAUGGAGAUUCGAUUCUACAUUUCUACCUCAUUGUAGAACAGAUUCGCAUGAUGUGUGCAAUGAUACACCUAACCAAAGAUUCCAGAAUGAUGAUUUGGUGGUAACAUUUCAGACUCGGGCUUGAAAUCUCUAAAUUUUAAAUGCUAACAGCUUUUCAUCUUCUAGCAUUGCUUUCUGGCGAAGAUCAUGACAACCAUUUCCUCUUUUGACCUCCCAAUUUCAUACAUGUUUAAAUGGAUGCUUUUGUGAUCCUCGAUCACCAUCCCUAUCAUCACAAUUCCUUCUUCACCAUAGAAGAGAGAGGGGAAGAAAUAGGUAAUAGAUUUACUAGCCUGGGGAUAAGCUACAGUUAAUUGGGAAUCGGCAAUUAGAAGUAGGGGCAUUAGAAAGGGAUUGUUGGAGGAACAUCCCACUUUGAUUCAUGCAUUUGGUUUAUUGAAUUUAGUUGGGUAAAAUUUGAAAUCUAAAAUUUAAAGGACCUUUGUCAUUCAGAAAUGAAAUUUCUUAUACGCAGAUUGACAUUUUUUUGAAUAUCAUGUGGGAUCUGUUUCAUUUCAGUUGUACAAUUUUGGAUGAUAAGAAUACAACAAUCUUGAAUAAAAAUGAGUUCUUCCUUCA